UACGUAGGCAGCGAGCGUUGUUCGGAAUUACUGGGCGUAAAGAGUGUGUAGGCGGUGCUCUAAGUUCGGUGUGAAAUCUCCUGGCUCAACUGGGAGGGUGCGCCGGAAACUGGAGUGCUUGAGCGUGGGAGAGGAAAGCGGAAUUCCUGGUGUAGCGGUGGAAUGCGUAGAGAUCCGGAAGAACACCGGUGGCGAAGGCGGUUAGCUGGGCAGUUGCUGACACUGAGGCGCGACAGCGUGGGGAGCAAACAGG
This 253-nucleotide ribosomal RNA is filed under the name uncultured bacterium. Its description in RNAcentral is "partial 16S ribosomal RNA". It matches the Rfam family "Bacterial small subunit ribosomal RNA", at positions 524 to 776 of the family's 1533-position model. The record is from RNAcentral.